This 76-nucleotide transfer RNA is filed under the name Rhodospirillales bacterium 69-11. RNAcentral's name for it is "tRNA-Glu". It matches the Rfam family "tRNA". Rfam says of the family: Transfer RNA (tRNA) molecules are approximately 80 nucleotides in length. Their secondary structure includes four short double-helical elements and three loops (D, anti-codon, and T loops). The record is from RNAcentral. RNAcentral also lists the same sequence under 10 other names. Lineage: Bacteria; Pseudomonadati; Pseudomonadota; Alphaproteobacteria; Rhodospirillales.
GUCCCGUUCGUCUAGAGGCCUAGGACACCAGCCUUUCACGUUGGUAACACGGGUUCGAAUCCCGUACGGGACGCCA